GCCACCAUAGUAUAGUGGUUAGUACGGCGGUCUCAUAAUCCGCAAGCACGAGUUCGAUUCUCGUUGGAGGCA
This 72-nucleotide transfer RNA is filed under the name Aspergillus flavus NRRL3357. Its description in RNAcentral is "tRNA-Met (CAT) (tRNA-Met-CAT-2-1)". It matches the Rfam family "tRNA". Rfam says of the family: Transfer RNA (tRNA) molecules are approximately 80 nucleotides in length. Their secondary structure includes four short double-helical elements and three loops (D, anti-codon, and T loops). RNAcentral also lists the same sequence under 1 other name. Lineage: Eukaryota; Fungi; Ascomycota; Eurotiomycetes; Eurotiales; Aspergillaceae. The record is from RNAcentral.